RNAcentral lists this ribosomal RNA (468 nucleotides) under uncultured bacterium. RNAcentral describes it as "partial 16S ribosomal RNA". It matches the Rfam family "Bacterial small subunit ribosomal RNA", at positions 28 to 507 of the family's 1533-position model. The record is from RNAcentral.
GACGAACGCUGGCGGCGUGCUUAACACAUGCAAGUCGAACGGUAACGCCCUUCUUUUUUCUGGUGCUCGAGUGGCGAACGGGUGAUUAACCCGUGAGUAACCUGCCCUUGACUUUGGGAUAACUUCAGCAAACUUGGGCUAAUACCUGAUAUGAGCUCCUACUGCAUGGUGGGGGUUGGAAAGUUUCGGCGGUUGGGGAUGGACUCGCGGCUUAUCAGCUUGUUGGUGGGGUAGUGGCUUACCAAGGCUUUGACGGGUAGCCGGCAUGAGAGGGUGACCGGCGACAUUGGGACUGAGAUACGGAGCAGACGGCUACGGGAGGCAGGAGUGGGGAAUAUUGCACAAUGGGGGGAAGCGUGAGGAAGAAACGCCGCGUGCGGGAUGAGGGCCUUGGAGUUGUAAAACGCUUUCGGCUGUGACGAAGCGUGAGUGACGGUAAUGGGUAAAGAAGCACCGGCUAACUACGUG